This 376-nucleotide ribosomal RNA is filed under the name uncultured eukaryote. Its description in RNAcentral is "partial 18S ribosomal RNA". It matches the Rfam family "Eukaryotic small subunit ribosomal RNA", at positions 592 to 975 of the family's 1831-position model. The record is from RNAcentral.
UAAUAGCGUAUAUUAAUGUUGUUGCAGUUAAAAAGCUCGUAGUUGGAUUUUGGUGUUUGACAAAUGGUCUGCCUUUCGGUGUGCACUGUUUGUUGGCACUUCUUUUCUGGGGAACUCACUGCUCUUAAUUGAGGGGUGCUGUAACGCAGAUCGUUUACUUUGAAAAAAUUAGAGUGUUCAAAGCAGGCCAACGCAUUGAAUACAUUAGCAUGGAAUAAUGGAAUAGGACUUUGGUCUUAUUUUGUUGGUUUCUAAGGCCGAGGUAAUGAUUAAUAGGGAUAGUUGGGGGCGUUUAUAUUCCGUUGUCAGAGGUGAAAUUCUUGGAUUUACGGAAGAUAAACUACUGCGAAAGCAUUCGCCAAGGAUGUUUUCAUUA